UACGUAGGGGGCAAGCGUUGUCCGGAAUCAUUGGGCGUAAAGAGCGUGUAGGCGGUUCGGUAAGUCGGCUGUGAAAGUCCAGGGCUCAACCCUGGGAUGCCGGUCGAUACUGCCGGACUAGAGUUCGGAAGAGGCGAGUGGAAUUCCCGGUGUAGCGGUGAAAUGCGUAGAUAUUGGGAGGAACACCAGUGGCGAAGGCGGCUCACUGGACCGGUUCUGACGCUGAGGCACGAAAGCGUGGGGAGCAAACGGG
Molecule: ribosomal RNA, 253 nt
Filed under: uncultured bacterium
Lineage: Bacteria
Description: partial 16S ribosomal RNA
Rfam family: Bacterial small subunit ribosomal RNA
Source: RNAcentral